AUCUAGACAUUAAACAACUGUAAAUCCACUUCCAGAUCAAAGACAACAUGACAGGCUAUAGAUCUAAAACAUAAAACAUCAAACAUCAUGAACAAGGAAAGAUCUAGAACCACUGACAUUCGUUGUCAGACGAAAAUGUUAAACUUUCCCAGAAUUUUAAAAACUUUAAAUCCGAGCACUUUAAUGUUAUGGAUCUGGGAUCUAACAACCCAGAUCACUAAAUAACAUCUUAUUACACAACAUUAAAC
RNAcentral lists this long non-coding RNA (248 nucleotides) under Panax ginseng (ginseng). RNAcentral's name for it is "long non-coding RNA (PGIN_LNC013550)". The record is from RNAcentral. Lineage: Eukaryota; Viridiplantae; Streptophyta; Magnoliopsida; Apiales; Araliaceae.